This 1940-nucleotide ribosomal RNA is filed under the name human gut metagenome. RNAcentral describes it as "bacterial LSU rRNA". It matches the Rfam family "Bacterial large subunit ribosomal RNA", at positions 3 to 1991 of the family's 2925-position model. The record is from RNAcentral.
UUAAGCUACAAAGGGCGUAGGGUGAAUGCCUUGGCAUCAAGAGCCGAUGAAGGACGUGAUAAGCUGCGAUAAGCUAUGGGUAGGAGCAAAUAUCCACUAAUCCAUAGAUCUCCGAAUGAGGAAACUCAACUAGUAACAAUAUACUAGUUAUCCAUACAUGAGUAAAGUAGUGUAUGAGAAGGGAACGUGGGGAACUGAAACAUCUAAGUACCCACAGGAAAAGAAAGAAAUUAUUCGAUUCCUAGAGUAGUGGCGAGCGAAAUAGGAAGAGCCCAAACUGUAAGUAGUAAUACAUACAGGGUUCGGACUGCAUAAUCGAUUUAAUGAGUUUAGUAGAAGUGUUUUGGAAAAGCACACCAUAGAUGGUGAAAGUCCAGUAUGCGAAAAGCGAGUUAACGAGGCAGUAUCCAGAGUAGCACGAGGCACGUGGAAUCUCGUGUGAAUGUGUGGGGACCAUCCCAUAAGGCUAAAUACUACUUGAUGACCGAUAGUGAACGAGUACCGUGAGGGAAAGGUGAAAAGAACCCCGGGAGGGGAGUGAAAUAGAAUUUGAAACCCUAUGUUUACAAGCAGACAAAGCACGUUAAGGUGCGAUGUCGUACUUUUUGUAGAACGGUCCGGCGAGUUAUUUUAUAUGGCAAGGUUAAGUACUAAAGGUACGGAGCCGAAGAGAAAUCGAGUCUGAAGAGGGCGAAUAAGUCAUAUGAAAUAGACCCGAAACCGAGUGACCUAUCCAUGUCCAGGCUGAAGCUUGAGUAAAAUCAAGUGGAGGGCCGAACUCAUAGACGUUAAAAAGUCUCGGGAUGAGGUGUGGAUAGCGGAGAAAUUCCAAUCGAACUCGGAGAUAGCUGGUUCUCCUCGAAAUAGCUUUAGGGCUAGCCUUGAGGUAAAGACGUAUGGGGGUAGAGCACUGAAUGAGCUAGGGGCCUAACCAGGUUACUGAACUCUAUCAAACUACGAAUACCAUAUUGUUAUACUCAGGAGUCAGACUGCGGGAGCUAAGUUCCGUGGUCAAAAGGGAAAGAGCCCAGAUCGUCAAUUAAGGUCCCAAAGAUAUAGCUAAGUGGAAAACGAUGUGAUUUUGCGUAAACAACCAGGAUGUUGGCUCAGAAGCAGCCACUCAUUCAAAGAGUGCGUAACAGCUCACUGGUCGAGUGAAAUUGCGCGGAAAAUUACCGGGGCUAAGCUAUACACCGAAAUUGCGGAUUCAAGGAUUUAUCCUUGAGUGGUAGAGGAGCAUUCUGUUGUAGGUUGAAGUAUGACCGUAAGGACAUGUGGACGAAGCAGAAGAGAGAAUGCUGGAAUAAGUAGCGAGAGCAAGGUGAGAAUCCUUGCCGUCGAAAGUCUAAGGUUUCCUGGGGAAGGUUCGUCCGCCCAGGGUUAGUCGGGACCUAAGGAGAGGCCGAGAGGCGUAUCUGAUGGACAGCAGGUUGAUAUUCCUGCACUAUAGAUAUACUUAAAAGAUGCAAGGGACGCAGAAGUGGAAGGAAUGCGAGGAAGAGGAAAAACUCGUAUCGAAAGAUAUAGUGAAAAUAAAGUAACGAAUUUCCAAGAAGCACGCUGACGAGAAAAGCUUGUAGAUAUUGUAUAUAAAUACCCGUACCGCAAACCGACACAGGUAGAUGAGGAGAGGAUCCUAAGACGAGCGGGAGAAGCAUUGUUAAGGAACUCGGCAAAUUGACCCCGUAACUUCGGAAUAAGGGGUGCCUAUGUAAAAGUAGGCCGCAGAGAAUAGGCCCAAGCAACUGUUUAACAAAAACACAGGUUUCUGCUAAAUCGAAAGAUGAAGUAUAGGAGCUGACGCCUGCCCAGUGCUGGAAGGUUAAGGGGAAGAGUUAAGACUUGAUCUGAAGCUUAGAACCAAAGCCCCAGUGAACGGCGGCCGUAACUAUAACGGUCCUAAGGUAGCGAAAUUCCUUGUCAGGUAAGUUCUGACCCGC